GGCUUGUUGAUUUUAAUUUCAAGUCUGACCUGCCCGAUGAGUUAUUGAAUGGCCGCGGUAUAUUGACUGUGCAAAGGUAGCAUAAUCAUUAGUUUUUUAAUUGAAAGCUUGUAUGAAAGGUUUGAUGAGAGAAUUACUGUCUCUGUAAAAACUUAUUGGAAUUUUAUUUUUAAGUGAAAAAGCUUAAAUAUUUAUAGAAGACGAGAAGACCCUAUAGAGUUUUAUAUUAAUAUGAAAAGCUGUGCGUAUAAGAAUUUAAAGUUCAGGGUUUUAGUGGUAUUUUAUUGGGGUGAUUGAAAAAUUUAAUAAACUUUUUUUAUUUUAAGACAUUUAUUUAUGGGUUUAUGAUCCUGGAUUUAGAUUAAAAGAUUAAAUUACCUUAGGGAUAACAGCGUAAUCUUUUUUAGAGUUCUUAUCAAAUAAAAGGAUUGCGACCUCGAUGUUGGAUUAAAAUUUAUUAUUGGUGCAGAAGCUAAUAAAUUCGGUCUGUUCGACCUUUAAAAUUUUACAUGAUCUGAGUUUAAACCGGCGUGAG
This 535-nucleotide ribosomal RNA is filed under the name Trigonopterus sp. 852 AR-2022a. RNAcentral describes it as "partial large subunit ribosomal RNA". It matches the Rfam family "Bacterial large subunit ribosomal RNA", at positions 1819 to 2625 of the family's 2925-position model. Lineage: Eukaryota; Metazoa; Arthropoda; Insecta; Coleoptera; Curculionidae. The record is from RNAcentral.